Molecule: ribosomal RNA, 492 nt
Filed under: uncultured bacterium
Lineage: Bacteria
Description: partial 16S ribosomal RNA
Rfam family: Bacterial small subunit ribosomal RNA
Source: RNAcentral
AGUGAACGCUGGCGGCAGGCCUAACACAUGCAAGUCGAACGGCAGCACAGUAAGAGCUUGCUCUUACGGGUGGCGAGUGGCGGACGGGUGAGGAAUACAUCGGAAUCUACUUUUUCGUGGGGGAUAACGUAGGGAAACUUACGCUAAUACCGCAUACGACCUACGGGUGAAAGCAGGGGAUCUUCGGACCUUGCGCGAUUGAAUGAGCCGAUGUCGGAUUAGCUAGUUGGCGGGGUAAAGGCCCACCAAGGCGACGAUCCGUAGCUGGUCUGAGAGGAUGAUCAGCCACACUGGAACUGAGACACGGUCCAGACUCCUACGGGAGGCAGCAGUGGGGAAUAUUGGACAAUGGGCGCAAGCCUGAUCCAGCCAUGCCGCGUGGGUGAAGAAGGCCUUCGGGUUGUAAAGCCCUUUUGUUGGGAAAGAAAAGCAGCAGGUUAAUACCCCGCUGUUCUGACGGUACCCAAAGAAUAAGCACCGGCUAACUUCGUG